GACUGCCGGUGACAAACCGGAGGAAGGUGGGGAUGACGUCAAAUCAUCAUGCCCCUUAUGGCCUGGGCUACACACGUGCUACAAUGGACGGUACAAACGGUUGCGAAGUCGCGAGAGGGAGCUAAUCCGAUAAAGUCAUUCUCAGUUCGGAUUGGAGUCUGCAACUCGCCUACAUGAAGUCGGAAUCGCUAGUAAUCGCGGAUCAGCAUGCCGCGGUGAAUACGUUCCCGGGCCUUGUACACACCGCCCGUCACACCACGGGAGUGGAUAACACCAGAAGUACGGUGAGGUACCUCUGGA
Molecule: ribosomal RNA, 300 nt
Filed under: Lysinibacillus sp.
Lineage: Bacteria; Bacillati; Bacillota; Bacilli; Caryophanales; Bacillaceae
Description: bacterial SSU rRNA
Rfam family: Bacterial small subunit ribosomal RNA
Source: RNAcentral